AGAGUUUGAUCCUGGCUCAGGAUGAACGCUAGCGGUGUGCCUAAUGCAUGCAAGUCGAACGGGAGCCUUGGAUUCGUCUGAGGUGAGAGUGGCGAACGGGUGAGUAACACGUAGGUGACCUGCCCUAGAGAGGGGGACAACCAGUGGAAACGCUGGCUAAUACCCCGGAUGUCAAUGAGAUUAGAAGGCAUUGACUAAAGUAGCGGAUAAAACUGCUGCGCUCUGGGAGGGGCCUGCGACCCAUCAGCUAGUUGGUAGGGUAACGGCCUACCAAGGCAGAGACGGGUAGGGGGCGUGAGAGCGUGGCCCCCCACACUGGUACUGACACACGGACCAGAUACCUACGGGUAGCGGCAGCAAGGAAUAUUCCGCAAUGGGCGAAAGCCUGACGGAGCGACGCCGCGUGGUUGAUGAAGUCCCUUUGGGACGUAAAAACCUUUUAUCGGGGAGAAAGUUUAUUGAUAGUACCCGAAGAAUAAGGGGCCUCUAAACUCGUGCCAGCAGAGGCGGUAAUACGAGUGCCCCAAGCGUUAUCCGGAAUUACUGGGCGUAAAGGGUGUGUAGGCGGUUCUAUUAGUCCCCUGUUAAAUUCCUCGGCUUAACCGAGGGCCCGCGGGGGAAACGGUAGAACUGGAGGAUGUGAGAGGUCUAUGGGACUCAUGGUGUAGGGGUGAAAUCCGUUGAUAUCAUGGGGAACACCAAAAGCGAAGGCAAUAGACUGGCGCAUUCCUGACGCUGAGACACGAAAGCGUGGGUAGCGAACGGGAUUAGAUACCCCGGUAGUCCACGCCCUAAACGAUCUUGACUAGCUUUUCGGAGUAUCGACCCUCUGAGAGGCGAAGCUAACGCGUUAAGUUUACCGCCUGGGGACUACGAUCGCAAGAUUAAAACUCAAAGGAAUUGACGGGGGCCCGCACAAGCAGCGGAGCGUGUGGUUUAAUUCGAUGCUACACGAAGAACCUUACCCGGGUUUGACAUGCAAGUGGUAGUGAUCUGAAAGGUGAACGACCCGCAAGGGAGCUUGCACAGGUGUUGCAUGGCUGUCGUCAGCUCGUGUCGUGAGAUGUUCGGUUAAGUCCGCUAACGAGCGCAACCCUCGCUGUAUGUUACAUGUGUCAUACAGGACCGCCGGUAUCAAGCCGGAGGAAGGUGGGGAUGACGUCAAGUCCGCAUGGCCUUUAUGUCCGGGGCUACACACACGCUACAAUGGGCAGUACAGUGGGUUGCUAAGCCGCGAGGUGGAGCCAAUCCCCCAAAGCUGUCCUCAGUUCAGAUUGCAGGCUGCAACCCGCCUGCAUGAAGAUGGAGUUGCUAGUAACCGCGCGUCAGCAACAGUGCGGUGAAUACGUUCCCGGGUCUUGUACACACCGCCCGUCACGUCAUGGGAGUUGGCAACGCCUGAAGUCGGUGGGCUAACGGCGCGAAGCGCUGAGGCAGCCGCCUAAGGCGGGGUCGGUAACUGGGACGAAGUCGUAACAAGGUAACC
RNAcentral lists this ribosomal RNA (1486 nucleotides) under uncultured bacterium. Its description in RNAcentral is "16S ribosomal RNA". It matches the Rfam family "Bacterial small subunit ribosomal RNA". The record is from RNAcentral.